Ornithodoros turicata is the source of this 655-nucleotide long non-coding RNA. RefSeq lists it as uncharacterized. The transcript is spliced from 5 exons. NCBI's taxonomy places the organism in Eukaryota, Metazoa, Arthropoda, Arachnida, Ixodida, Argasidae. The record is from RefSeq and is a predicted model, not a curated record.
AAAUCGUCAAAGCCAAAGCUGUGCCUCACUCGUGGGCUUUCGCAAUAAGAUUUCGAAGGGUCUGGGCGUAUACAGACAAGAAGCAAGCAGCAAACGAGAGACUGGAAUGGAAGCUGCAAACAAGAAAGUUGCUGCAGCCCAUAUAGGGCUCCAGUGAUGAACAUGGCUGCCCAGGAAAACAUAUCUUUGUGUUGAAGCCGGUCUGUGCAUAUUUUAAUGAAGACUAUGAGGUCUGCACCUCGUUCCACACUCACAAAGCUGGCCAGACAGCUGUGGAGUGAGGGCCCCCAACACCAUGCCUCUGCUAUUGGGUCAUCACUACUACACUUCUCAGGCAUUGUUCUUCCCUUGGACAAUGACAAAACGCUAACUGCAAGGAGCGUGGAGAAAGGAUUGGUGCUUCAGCUCGGAGUGUAUUUCAACUACGAUGUGCAGUGCCUGCCACCAACGUUUCUUAUGUUACAAUCCAUGCAAUGGUAUGCGUUCUCAUGUAUUACACUCAUCGUAUCAUAAAUCGUUAUCACGUAGUCGACAACUACUCCGCUGUAUUCGUCCUUGUAUUGUUCAUUCUUACCGUGGGGUGAGAAUAAGUUUCACGGUCAUGUGUUUCAAAUGUUUCUUUCUUUUUUUUUUUUUGUCUUUCUAUUCCUUGGUU